CCUCCCACCCUCCCCCCUCCCCCCAGUGCGGCCCUGUCGAUGUGGCAGCUGAUGGUUGAGUUAACUCUCUCCUCCCCCAGCCACUCCUUUCUGGCUUAAUCCUUGGCAAAUUCAAAUUUGUUUCAAUUCUCUGCAUCACACCCUUGCACCGUUUUGGGUGUCUGGUAUCUGUCUGGGAAGAUCUUGAGCCUGAAAGCUGUGGACAGGCAUCAUCUCUUACACACACACACACACACACACACACACACACACACACACACACACACACACCACACCACUACAGUAUGCACACAUUUUUCAGGAACUUCCAGAGACGCCCUGAAACUAUUCAAAAUCCAGUUCAUAGGCUCAAUUAGUGAUCUGGCUUGGAAAGUCUUAUGGAAAUUCAGGUGCUCCAAGGACUAACCCUCUUCCUUAGGACAGGAAGGCUAAGCCCGAGAGAGAUCUUCCACAAACUGCCUAAAGCCUGCCACUCCACGUAGGGUCUACAUCUUACUUGACUACCUGCAUGGAUCAUUCAAGAAACGUAACGUAGAGGACUGCCGGUGGAGACACUCUCUCCCCUGCGGGUAUGCUCUCUGUCCCUGGGGAAGAUGCCUGAUGCUUGUUCCCUUUUAGUGAGACUUAUCUCCGUCACCUUGGGUGUCCCGCACAGGAAGUAGUUCACAGACCAUCUAGGAGCAGACAAGCAUCCCACAGGCUGGUCCAAGUCUUGGGAGGGUUCGGCAGUGAGGUCUGAAAGGUGUCCUGGGGCCCAAACCCCGUAUGUUCCCUCUUCCAAUCACCUCACUCCCUAAGUCUGGAUUCUAUCAGUUGUUGUUUUUUUUUUUUCAGAUGUCUAGGUACAGUAAAAGCGACUGUUGGUGGGUUCCUGUGAUGACCAGCUCUCAGAAUUAGGAUGGGAACAAUGGCAAUCCCAGGCUGGUGGAGACAAUAGCAUCGCAGGCUGACUGAGCUGACUGCCGCCACUGGGUGAUGUGGGGGUGGACAGAGACUCCAGGGACCUGAGCCGUCCCGGAGGGACUGAUGGAAGUGAACAGCUCGCCUUUGCUAUUCACAGACGGGCUUAUCCUUCUUGCAACGUCCCAUUUGGACAACUGAGCUCUGACCCAGAACUAGCUGUCUGCUCUUCUGGAACAGAGAGCCAGACCCAGCAGGAUGCAGCCAGACUCUCCGGGUUGGCCAUUGUGAUGGGCAAAUGAGGAUCAGAUUCCCAGAAAAGGAGACAACUGCCACCGAGGGGUGACAGAGGACAGAGCAGCAGCCUCUGCCACGGGAGAACAUUCAGAGAGACAGUGCUCCCCCCGCAAGAUCACGGCUAUUUUCUACAGAGCUCCAGAAACAGCAAGUUCUCCCAGAAGAGCCAUGGCUUCCUUCGGGUUCUCCAAAGUGUCUGUGAAGAAUCUUAAGAAGACCUUUUGAUGUAUAAGGCCCCAAGUCUUCUCCUUAACCCAAUAGGCAGGAGCUUCAGGCCACCAAAUUUAGGGUGCCAGUAGACUCCCCAGACAUCUGAUUUGCCCUUAGGACAGAUGUCUAUUUUCAUGGGAUUGGUUGCUAUAGCUCUAGGCAUCAUAGCAUCUAAAAUUAACUGCAGCCUUGUGUCUCAGUUUGGUAAAUCCAAGCAAAAGGAACUCCACCUGGUAUCAGCUUUGGGUUUCCACUUAGCCUUGGAUGAAAAUGUUGGAAACCUGUUUGGGACCAGGGGUUGGGAUAGAGUAUGUGGGAAUGCUACUCAAGGCCCCUGGGAGGACAGAGAACUAGAAUCUAGACUAGCCACGUGGCUCAGCAAGUCAAGUUGUUUGUCACCAAGCCUGACAACCUGAGACCCAUCCCCACAGCCCACAUAGUGGAAGGAAGGAAUCUACUCAUAUGAGUUGUCCUCUACCCAUCACUCACUCACCCAGUGUGGUGUGUUCACCCCAUCCCAGCACACCCAACACCACUCAAAUGAAUAAAUAAGAAAUAAAAAGAGAAAGUGAUAGAAUUCCAGGGAGGAUUUGCAUUUAGCAUUAAAGAAUGCUGGGUCACAGGAGCCCUGCAGCAAGGAUUACCCUGAUCAAGACAGAAUUAUGGGGGCUGGGUCUCCUGCCUCACCCAGUGCUUCAUGGGAAAGGAAGGAAGUAUAGGAGGCCUGGUUGAGCUCCCCCUCUGCCACUAAGUCUCCAUUAAUGUUGCAACACCUCAAAACCCUUAAUAUACAAAGUAAAUUUGUGCUCAUUCCCAGUCUGAACUAUAUUUUUUUCCCAUUUGUGAACUGGAAUAGACGGUUGAAUAACA
Molecule: long non-coding RNA, 2277 nt
Organism: Mesocricetus auratus (golden hamster)
Lineage: Eukaryota; Metazoa; Chordata; Mammalia; Rodentia; Cricetidae
Exons: 2
Source: RefSeq, a predicted model, not a curated record